CCUACGGGGGGCAGCAGUGAGGAAUAUUGGUCAAUGGGCGGGAGCCUGAACCAGCCAAGUCGCGUGAGGGAAGACGGUCCUACGGAUUGUAAACCUCUUUUGCCGGGGAGCAACGGGGUCCGUGCGAGGGCCCGAUGAGAGUACCCGGAGAAAAAGCAUCGGCUAACUCCGUGCCAGCAGCCGCGGUAAUACGGGGGAUGAGAGCGUUACGCGGAUUUAGUGGGGUUAAUGGGUGCGUAGGAGGGCUGUUAAGUCAGCGGUCAAAUGUCGGGGCUCAAGCCCGGACUGCCGUUGAAACUGGCGGCCUCGAGUGGGCGAGAAGUAUGCGGAAUGCGCGGUGUAGCGGUGAAAUGCAUAGAUAUCACGCAGAACUCCGGUUGCGAAGGCAGCAUCCCGGCGCCCGACUGACGCUGAGGCACGAAAGCGUGGGUAUCGAACAGGAUUAGAUACCCCAGUAGUC
Molecule: ribosomal RNA, 460 nt
Filed under: uncultured bacterium
Lineage: Bacteria
Description: partial 16S ribosomal RNA
Rfam family: Bacterial small subunit ribosomal RNA
Source: RNAcentral